This 253-nucleotide ribosomal RNA is filed under the name uncultured bacterium. RNAcentral describes it as "partial 16S ribosomal RNA". It matches the Rfam family "Bacterial small subunit ribosomal RNA", at positions 524 to 776 of the family's 1533-position model. The record is from RNAcentral.
UACGAAGGGUGCAAGCGUUACUCGGAAUUACUGGGCGUAAAGCGUGCGUAGGUGGUGGCUUAAGUCCGUUGUGAAAGCCCUGGGCUCAACCUGGGAAUUACAGUGGAUACUGGGUCACUAGAGUACGGUAGAGGGUGGUGGAAUUUCCUGUGUAGCGGUGAAAUGCGUAGAUAUAGGAAGGAACACCAGUGGCGAAGGCGGCCACCUGGGCCAACACUGACACUGAGGCACGAAAGCGUGGGGAGCAAACAGG